GAUGAACGCUGGCGGCGUGCCUAACACAUGCAAGUCGAACGGAGUUGUCACCAUGAAGUUUUCGGAUGGAAUGGAGGCAACUUAGUGGCGGACGGGUGAGUAACGCGUGGGUAACCUGCCUCAUACUGGGGGAUAACAGCUGGAAACGGCUGCUAAAACCGCAUAAGAUCGCAUCACCGCAUGGUGAGGCGGUUAAAUAUCGAAAGAUAGGUAUGAGAUGGGCCCGCGUCUGAUUAGCUAGUUGGUGAGAUAAGAGCCCACCAAGGCGACGAUCAGUAGCCGGCUUGAGAGAGUGACCGGCCACAUUGGGACUGAGACACGGCCCAAACUCCUACGGGAGGCAGCAGUGGGGAAUAUUGCACAAUGGGGGAAACCCUGAUGCAGCGACGCCGCGUGAGUGAAGAAGUGCUUCGGCAUGUAAAGCUCUAUCAGCAGGGAAGAAGAUGACGGUACCUGACUAAGAAGCCCCGGCUAACU
RNAcentral lists this ribosomal RNA (477 nucleotides) under uncultured bacterium. RNAcentral describes it as "bacterial SSU rRNA". It matches the Rfam family "Bacterial small subunit ribosomal RNA", at positions 28 to 502 of the family's 1533-position model. The record is from RNAcentral.